GACGAACGCUGGCGGCGUGCUUAACACAUGCAAGUCGAACGGAAAGCCCUUUUCGGAGGUACUCGAGUGGCGAACGGGUGAGUAACACGUGGGUGAUCUGCCCUGCACUCUGGGAUAAGCCUGGGAAACUGGGUCUAAUACCGGAUAGGACCGCACUUUAGUGUGUGUGGUGGAAAGUUUUUUCGGUGUAGGAUGAGCCCGCGGCCUAUCAGCUUGUUGGUGGGGUAAUGGCCUACCAAGGCGGCGACGGGUAGCCGGACUGAGAGAUUGGUCGGCCACAUUGGGACUGAGAUACGGCCCAGACUCCGACGGGAGGCAGCAGUGGGGAAUAUUGCACAAUGGGCGCAAGCCUGAUGCAGCGACGCCGCGUGGGGGAUGACGGCCUUCGGGUUGUAAACUCCUUUCGCCAGGGACGAAGCGUUUUGUGACGGUACCUGGAGAAGAAGCACCGGCUAACUACGUG
This 463-nucleotide ribosomal RNA is filed under the name uncultured bacterium. RNAcentral's name for it is "partial 16S ribosomal RNA". It matches the Rfam family "Bacterial small subunit ribosomal RNA", at positions 28 to 507 of the family's 1533-position model. The record is from RNAcentral.